AACGCACGAGACCUGCGGACCUGCGGAGGGAUCAUUAAUGAGAAGCUGCCCCUCGUGGGUAGACCUCCCACCCUCUGUGAACUUACCUCUGUUGCUUUGGCAGGCCCGUCCUCUGGACCGCCGGCUUCGGCUGGCCCGUGCCUGCCAGAGGAUUCCAAACCCUGUCUGUCAGUGUUGUCUGAGUCUAUAUGAAAUCGUUAAAACUUUUAGCAACGGAUCUCUAGAUCGGAAGAGCACACG
RNAcentral lists this unclassified non-coding RNA (240 nucleotides) under soil metagenome. Its description in RNAcentral is "partial contains 5.8S ribosomal RNA, internal transcribed spacer 2, and large subunit ribosomal RNA". The record is from RNAcentral.